RNAcentral lists this ribosomal RNA (431 nucleotides) under uncultured eukaryote. RNAcentral's name for it is "partial 18S ribosomal RNA". It matches the Rfam family "Eukaryotic small subunit ribosomal RNA", at positions 592 to 976 of the family's 1831-position model. The record is from RNAcentral.
CAUUAGCGUAUCCUAAAGUUGUUGCAGUUAAAAAGCUCGUAGUCGAAGUUACGGUUCGUUAAUUGUGAGGUCCGUCUCUAAGGAGGCGUGUAUUCUUCGAUUCGAGCCGCUUGCUUGUCAUUGUGAUCGCCGUCGCGGCGCUUGGAGGUCCAUUUGUUUGGCUUUUGGGUGCGGGCGGGUUACUUGUGGUUGCGUGACAUCUUUUACUUUGAAAAAAUUAGAGUGUUCAAAGCAGAUCGUUUACGGUCGUUGAAUAGUUCAGCAUGGGAUAAUGAAAUAGGACCAACAAUUUAUUUUAUUGGUUUUCGAAUUGUAGGUAAUGAUUAAAAGAAACAGUCGGGGAUGCUAGAAUUUACUAGUCAGAGGUGAAAUUCUUGGACCUAGUAAAGGCUAACUGAUGCGAAAGCGUUCAUCCAGGAUGUUUNCAUUGA